RNAcentral lists this ribosomal RNA (497 nucleotides) under uncultured bacterium. Its description in RNAcentral is "partial 16S ribosomal RNA". It matches the Rfam family "Bacterial small subunit ribosomal RNA", at positions 28 to 507 of the family's 1533-position model. The record is from RNAcentral.
GAUGAACGCUGGCGGCGUGCCUAAUACAUGCAAGUCGAGCGAACGGACGAUAAGCUUGCUUCUCUGAUGUUAGCGGCGGACGGGUGAGUAACACGUGGAUAACCUACCUAUAAGACUGGGAUAACUUCGGGAAACCGGAGCUAAUACCGGAUAAUAUUUUGAACCGCAUGGUUCAAAAGUGAAAGACGGUCUUGCUGUCACUUAUAGAUGGAUCCGCGCUGCAUUAGUUAGUUGGUAAGGUAACGGCCUACCAAGGCAACGAUGCAUAGCCGACCUGAGAGGGUGAUCGGCCACACUGGAACUGAGACACGGUCCAGACUCCUACGGGAGGCAGCAGUAGGGAAUCUUCCGCAAUGGGCGAAAGCCUGACGGAGCAACGCCGCGUGAGUGAUGAAGGUCUUCGGAUCGUAAAACUCUGUUAUUAGGGAAGAACAGAUGUGUAAGUAACUGUGCACAUCUUGACGUUACCUAAUCAGAAAGCCACGGCUAACUACGUG